Molecule: ribosomal RNA, 729 nt
Filed under: uncultured bacterium
Lineage: Bacteria
Description: bacterial SSU rRNA
Rfam family: Bacterial small subunit ribosomal RNA
Source: RNAcentral
ACACAUGCAGUCGAGCGGAUGAAGGAGCUUGCUCCUGGAUUCAGCGGCGGACGGGUGGGUAAUGCCUAGGAAUCUGCCUGGUAGUGGGGGACAACGUUUCGAAAGGAACGCUAAUACCGCAUACGUCCUACGGGAGAAAGCAGGGGACCUUCGGGCCUUGCGCUAUCAGAUGAGCCUAGGUCGGAUUAGCUAGUUGGUGAGGUAAUGGCUCACCAAGGCGACGAUCCGUAACUGGUCUGAGAGGAUGAUCAGUCACACUGGAACUGAGACACGGUCCAGACUCCUACGGGAGGCAGCAGUGGGGAAUAUUGGACAAUGGGCGAAAGCCUGAUCCAGCCAUGCCGCGUGUGUGAAGAAGGUCUUCGGAUUGUAAAGCACUUUAAGUUGGGAGGAAGGGUUGUAGAUUAAUACUCUGCAAUUUUGACGUUACCGACAGAAUAAGCACCGGCUAACUCUGUGCCAGCAGCCGCGGUAAUACAGAGGGUGCAAGCGUUAAUCGGAAUUACUGGGCGUAAAGCGCGCGUAGGUGGUUUGUUAAGUUGGAUGUGAAAUCCCCGGGCUCAACCUGGGAACUGCAUCCAAAACUGGCAAGCUAGAGUAUGGUAGAGGGCGGUGGAAUUUCCUGUGUAGCGGUGAAAUGCGUAGAUAUAGGAAGGAACACCAGUGGCGAAAGCGACCACCUGGACUGAUACUGACACUGAGGUGCGAAAGCGUGGGGAGCAAACAGGA